AAACAUCCUGCUCUCACACUCCACAACAAAAUGGUGUUGUUGAGAGGAAACAUAGAUAUCUUUUAGAAACAGCCAGGGCCUUGCUUUUUCAGUCCAAGCUCCCUCUCAGAUUCUGGGGGGAUUGUAUUCUUACUGCCACAUACCUUAUAAAUAGAUUUCCUUCUAAACUUCUUAACAAUGUUUCUCCUUAUGAACUACUAUUUGGAAGGAGUCCCUCUUUACUACAUCUCAAAACCUUUGGCUGUCUAUGUUUUGCUACUGUCCCUAAGCAACAUAGAGAUAAGUUUCAACCAAGGGCUGAUUCUUGUGUAUUCAUAGGGUACCCACUGGGUAAAAAGGGCUACAAAUUAUAUAACUUGAAAACUAAACUUACUCUCAUUUCCAGGGAUGUUGUUUUCCAUGAAGAUGUUUUUCCUUUUGCUUUUCCUUGGAGUACUUCCUCUGUCCCAUCUUCUAUUCCUUCUUCUUGCCAUGACUAUCCACCUCCUACUGAUGUAUCUGCUCCAUCUUCUCUUCCUCCUCCCUGCCCUGACUAUCCUGCUUCUCCUAAUCUUCCAUCAAUCAGUCCUUCCCAUUCCCCUGCUUCUUCUCCUUCAUUCCCUACUUCUACUUCCAAUUCACCUUCCCAUUCCCUGCUUCUUCUCCUUCAUUCCCUACUUCUACUUCCAAUUCACCACCCUCUAAUAAUAUACCUUUGUCUGACCCUAUUCCUAAUCCUCCUCUGCCUCCUCCUAGGAGAUGUGGCAGGCACCACACCACUCCUGCUCAUCUUAAUCAAUACAUCUGUGACCUCCCUCCUUCCAUUUCUGGCACCAGUUCUUUUUCCACUUGCUGCAAUAGCACUGUUAGCAAUGCACUGGUUGAGCUUACCUCUUACAAGCAGGCAGCCUCUGAUCCUGCUUGGCAGGAUGCCAUGGC
RNAcentral lists this long non-coding RNA (918 nucleotides) under Nicotiana benthamiana. RNAcentral describes it as "long non-coding RNA (NBEN_LNC017318)". The record is from RNAcentral. Lineage: Eukaryota; Viridiplantae; Streptophyta; Magnoliopsida; Solanales; Solanaceae.